This is a long non-coding RNA of Nematolebias whitei (Rio pearlfish), 236 nucleotides long. RefSeq lists it as uncharacterized. NCBI's taxonomy places the organism in Eukaryota, Metazoa, Chordata, Actinopteri, Cyprinodontiformes, Rivulidae. The record is from RefSeq and is a predicted model, not a curated record. The transcript has 3 exons.
GGAAAUCAGCAGCUCGAGGCUCGCCAACUCACCCCACCAGUGUCACGCUCGCCUUCGGAGGGCUCUCCAGUUAAAGAACUGCCUCACAGGCAAAGCCUUCAAGGAGUAAAUGAAGCAAAGGCUCAAGAGCACUCAGACGGGCAAUCCAUCUUCAAAGACGUAAUGCCAACCAUUGAGAAGCUGCUUAAUGCUGACUGGAUGGAGAAACUUCUGGAUAAAAACACAGUAGGAACAGG